This 255-nucleotide ribosomal RNA is filed under the name uncultured bacterium. RNAcentral's name for it is "partial 16S ribosomal RNA". It matches the Rfam family "Bacterial small subunit ribosomal RNA", at positions 524 to 776 of the family's 1533-position model. The record is from RNAcentral.
GACAGAGGGUGCAAACGUUUGUUCGGAUUUACUGGGCGUAAAGCGCGUGUAGGCGGCUUCGUAAGUUGGAUGUGAAAUCCCACGGCUCAACCGUGGACGUGCAUCCAAAACUACGUCGCUGGAGUCUCGGAGAGGAAGGUGGAAUGCUUGGUGUAGAGGUGAAAUUCGUAGAUAUCAAGCAGAACACCUGCGGCGAAAGGCGGCCUUCUGGACGAUGACUGACGCUGAGACGCGAAAGCGUGGGGAGCAAACAGG